AGAAAAUGAUAAGGUCUUAUUUGCAUGAAUAGAUCCUCCCAUUGUGAGAAUGUGAAGAAAAGGAGCAACAGAUUUUAGGGGUAGCUCUACUUCACCUGUAGGGUCUUGAAAUGCUGAACUCAGCAACAGUCUCCACCAUGACCUGGCCUCUUCUUCUUAUCUUCAUCUCUCACUGCACAGGUUCUCGGGCCCAGUCUGUGCUGACUCAGCCAGCCUCAGUGUCUGGGAACCUGGGCCAGAGGAUCACUAUUUCCUGUGCUGGAAGUAGCACAAAUAUUGGGGAAGCAAUUAAUGGUAAAUAUAUAUCCUGGUACCAGCAAUUCCCAGGAGCUUCCCCCAGACUUCUUAUAUAUGAAACUACCAAACGGCCAUCAGGAAUCCCGGAUAGGUUCUCUGCCUCCAAGUCUGGCAAUUCAGCUUCUCUGGCCAUCAAUGGACUGCAGUCUGGGGAUGAGGCUGACUACUACUGUCAUUGUUAUGAUGACAAUCUUAGAGCUCCCACAGUGAUCUGGGCUGGUGGGGAAGUGAGCCAAAAACUCACUGUCAGCCCAGCAAUGAGUAAUCUCUGUGCAAUGCCCUUCUAA
Erinaceus europaeus (western European hedgehog) is the source of this 584-nucleotide non-coding RNA. The record is from the annotation of a RefSeq genome assembly. Lineage: Eukaryota; Metazoa; Chordata; Mammalia; Eulipotyphla; Erinaceidae.